AGAGUUUGAUCCUGGCUCAGGACGAACGCUGGCGGCGCGCCUAACACAUGCAAGUCGAACGAGCGAGAGAGAGCUUGCUUUCUCGAGCGAGUGGCGAACGGGUGAGUAACGCGUGAGGAACCUGCCUCAAAGAGGGGGACAACAGUUGGAAACGACUGCUAAUACCGCAUAAGCCCACGGCUCGGCAUCGAGCAGAGGGAAAAGGAGCAAUCCGCUUUGAGAUGGCCUCGCGUCCGAUUAGCUAGUUGGUGAGGUAAUGGCCCACCAAGGCGACGAUCGGUAGCCGGACUGAGAGGUUGAACGGCCACAUUGGGACUAAGACACGGCCCAGACUCCUACGGGAGGCAGCAGUGGGGAAUAUUGCACAAUGGGGGAAACCCUGAUGCAGCGACGCCGCGUGGAGGAAGAAGGUCUUCGGAUUGUAAACUCCUGUUGUUGAGGAAGAUAAUGACGGUACUCAACAAGGAAGUGACGGCUAACUACGUGCCAGCAGCCGCGGUAAAACGUAGGUCACAAGCGUUGUCCGGAAUUACUGGGUGUAAAGGGAGCGCAGGCGGUAAGACAAGUUGGAAGUGAAAUCCAUGGGCUCAACCCAUGAACUGCUUUCAAAACUGUUUUUCUUGAGUAGUGCAGAGGUAGGUGGAAUUCCCGGUGUAGCGGUGGAAUGCGUAGAUAUCGGGAGGAACACCAGUGGCGAAGGCGGCCUACUGGGCACCAACUGACGCUGAGGCUCGAAAGUGUGGGUAGCAAACAGGAUUAGAUACCCUGGUAGUCCACACUGUAAACGAUGAUUACUAGGUGUUGGAGGAUUGACCCCUUCAGUGCCGCAGUUAACACAAUAAGUAAUCCACCUGGGGAGUACGACCGCAGGGUUGAAACUCAAAGGAAUUGACGGGGGCCCGCACAAGCAGUGGAGUAUGUGGUUUAAUUCGACGCAACGCGAAGAACCUUACCAAGUCUUGACAUCCUGCGACGGACAUAGAAAUAUGUUUUUCCUUCGGGACGCAGAGACAGGUGGUGCAUGGUUGUCGUCAGCUCGUGUCGUGAGAUGUUGGGUUAAGUCCCGCAACGAGCGCAACCCCUCUCCUUAGUUGCCAUCAGGUUAAGCUGGGCACUCUGGGGACACUGCCACCGUAAGGUGUGAGGAAGGUGGGGAUGACGUCAAAUCAGCACGGCCCUUACGUCCGGGGCUACACACGUGUUACAAUGGCAGGUACAGAGAGACGGUUGUACGUAAGUACGAUCAAAUCCUUAAAGCCUGUCUCAGUUCGGACUGGGGUCUGCAACCCGACCCCACGAAGCUGGAUUCGCUAGUAAUCGCGCAUCAGCCAUGGCGCGGUGAAUACGUUCCCGGGCCUUGUACACACCGCCCGUCAAGCCAUGAAAGCCGGGGGCGCCUAAAGUCCGUGACCGUAAGGAGCGGCCUAGGGCGAAACUGGUAAUUGGGGCUAAGUCGUAACAAGGUA
RNAcentral lists this ribosomal RNA (1466 nucleotides) under metagenome. RNAcentral describes it as "bacterial SSU rRNA". It matches the Rfam family "Bacterial small subunit ribosomal RNA". The record is from RNAcentral.